This 76-nucleotide transfer RNA is filed under the name Thermoanaerobaculia bacterium. RNAcentral's name for it is "tRNA-Lys". It matches the Rfam family "tRNA". From Rfam's summary of the family: Transfer RNA (tRNA) molecules are approximately 80 nucleotides in length. The record is from RNAcentral. Lineage: Bacteria; Pseudomonadati; Acidobacteriota; Thermoanaerobaculia.
GGGCCCUUAGCUCAGCCGGUAGAGCAGCUGGCUUUUAACCAGACGGUCGGGGGUUCGAUCCCCUCAGGGCCCACCA